CUCCAUUGUGAACCACGUCCAGAAGGUCGUGAUGAGACAUCUCUCCCGUGAGCCAAAGAUCAGCCGAACAGCCUUUGAGAACCGAAGUCCCAGAGCCCGCACAACUUGCCACACUGGAUAUGGAACAAUCUGGAAUGAAAAGAUCCAUUGGGUAGAUCCAUCAGGUUUAAAAAAAAACAAUGCCAGAAGAUGGAUUGGAAACCUUAUCGAGUAAGAAUGAAACACCUGGAUGUUUGGAAGCAAGUUUCAUUUACUUUGGCUUUUAUUCUGUUUCACGAAGAAAAUAAUAUGACUUGAAUGUGGUCUAAUAAAAAGGAUCUGUUUUUUCGA
Molecule: long non-coding RNA, 330 nt
Organism: Tigriopus californicus
Lineage: Eukaryota; Metazoa; Arthropoda; Copepoda; Harpacticoida; Harpacticidae
Exons: 2
Source: RefSeq, a predicted model, not a curated record